Molecule: ribosomal RNA, 468 nt
Filed under: uncultured bacterium
Lineage: Bacteria
Description: partial 16S ribosomal RNA
Rfam family: Bacterial small subunit ribosomal RNA
Source: RNAcentral
GACGAACGCUGGCGGCGUGCUUAACACAUGCAAGUCGAACGGAAAGGCACUGCUUUUGUGGGGUGCUCGAGUGGCGAACGGGUGAGUAACACGUGAGUAACCUGCCCUUGACUUUGGGAUAACUUCAGGAAACUGGGGCUAAUACCGGAUAGGAGCUCCUGCUGCAUGGUGGGGGUUGGAAAGUUUCGGCGGUUGGGGAUGGACUCGCGGCUUAUCAGCUUGUUGGUGGGGUAGUGGCUUACCAAGGCUUUGACGGGUAGCCGGCCUGAGAGGGUGACCGGCCACAUUGGGACUGAGAGACGGCCCAGACUCCUACGGGAGGCAGCAGUGGGGAAUAUUGCACAAUGGGCGGAAGCCUGAUGCAGCAACGCCGCGUGCGGGAUGACGGCCUUCGGGUUGUAAACCGCUUUCGCCUGUGACGAAGCGUGAGUGACGGUAAUGGGUAAAGAAGCACCGGCUAACUACGUG